RNAcentral lists this ribosomal RNA (559 nucleotides) under Salmonella enterica. RNAcentral describes it as "partial 23S ribosomal RNA". It matches the Rfam family "Bacterial large subunit ribosomal RNA", at positions 968 to 1531 of the family's 2925-position model. The record is from RNAcentral. Lineage: Bacteria; Pseudomonadati; Pseudomonadota; Gammaproteobacteria; Enterobacterales; Enterobacteriaceae.
AAUGUUAUCACGGGAGACACACGGCGGGUGCUAACGUCCGUCGUGAAGAGGGAAACAACCCAGACCGCCAGCUAAGGUCCCAAAGUCAUGGUUAAGUGGGAAACGAUGUGGGAAGGCCCAGACAGCCAGGAUGUUGGCUUAGAAGCAGCCAUCAUUUAAAGAAAGCGUAAUAGCUCACUGGUCGAGUCGGCCUGCGCGGAAGAUGUAACGGGGCUAAACCAUGCACCGAAGCUGCGGCAGCGACACUGUGUGUUGUUGGGUAGGGGAGCGUUCUGUAAGCCUGUGAAGGUGUGUCGUGAGGCAUGCUGGAGGUAUCAGAAGUGCGAAUGCUGACAUAAGUAACGAUAAAGCGGGUGAAAAGCCCGCUCGCCGGAAGACCAAGGGUUCCUGUCCAACGUUAAUCGGGGCAGGGUGAGUCGACCCCUAAGGCGAGGCCGAAAGGCGUAGUCGAUGGGAAACGGGUUAAUAUUCCCGUACUUGGUGUUACUGCGAAGGGGGGACGGAGAAGGCUAUGUUGGCCGGGCGACGGUUGUCCCGGUUUAAGCGUGUAGGUGUGUGU